CCUACGGGAGGCAGCAGUGGGGAAUUUUGGACAAUGGGCGCAAGCCUGAUCCAGCAAUGCCGCGUGAGUGAAGAAGGCCUUCGGGUUGUAAAGCUCUUUUGUCAGGGAAGAAACGGUGGUUCCUAAUACGGACUACUAAUGACGGUACCUGAAGAAUAAGCACCGGCUAACUACGUGCCAGCAGCCGCGGUAAUACGUAGGGUGCAAGCGUUAAUCGGAAUUACUGGGCGUAAAGCGUGCGCAGGCGGUUAUAUAAGUCAGAUGUGAAAUCCCCGGGCUCAACCUGGGAACUGCAUUUGAGACUGUAUGGCUAGAGUGUGUCAGAGGGGGGUAGAAUUCCACGUGUAGCAGUGAAAUGCGUAGAUAUGUGGAGGAAUACCGAUGGCGAAGGCAGCCCCCUGGGAUAACACUGACGCUCAUGCACGAAAGCGUGGGGAGCAAACAGGAUUAGAUACCCUGGUAGUCCACGCCCUAAACGAUGUCUACUAGUUGUCGGGACUUAAUUGUCUUGGUAACGCAGCUAACGCGUGAAGUAGACCGCCUGGGGAGUACGGUCGCGAAGAUUAAAACUCAAAUGAAUUGACGG
This 586-nucleotide ribosomal RNA is filed under the name uncultured bacterium. RNAcentral describes it as "bacterial SSU rRNA". It matches the Rfam family "Bacterial small subunit ribosomal RNA", at positions 338 to 916 of the family's 1533-position model. The record is from RNAcentral.